Molecule: small RNA, 87 nt
Filed under: Flavobacterium sp. 81
Lineage: Bacteria; Pseudomonadati; Bacteroidota; Flavobacteriia; Flavobacteriales; Flavobacteriaceae
Also listed under: 1 other name
Description: Flavo-1 RNA
Source: RNAcentral
CGAUAGUCCCGAAGUGUCGGGAGAAAAUCCUUUUGUGGCGGGGUUCGCCACAAAAGAUUGCAACGUCCCGAAGCUUCGGGAGCGGGA